RNAcentral lists this ribosomal RNA (612 nucleotides) under uncultured delta proteobacterium. RNAcentral describes it as "bacterial SSU rRNA". It matches the Rfam family "Bacterial small subunit ribosomal RNA", at positions 837 to 1443 of the family's 1533-position model. Lineage: Bacteria; Deltaproteobacteria. The record is from RNAcentral.
CUUUCUGUGCCGAAGCUAACGCAUUAAGUGCCCCGCCUGGGGAGUACGGUCGCAAGGCUAAAACUCAAAGGAAUUAACGGGGGCCCGCACAAGGGGUGGAGCAUGUGGUUUAAUUCGACGCUACGCGAAAAACCUUACCUGGGCUUGACAUGCUGGGAUUAAUCCUGGGAAACCAGGGGGAUUGCCUUCGGGUGUAACCAGCACUGGUGCUGCAUGGCUGUCGUCAGCUCGUGUCGUGAGAUGUUGGGUUAAGUCCCGCAACGAGCGCAACCCUCGCUUUUAGUUGCCAUCAUUUAGUUGGGCACUCUAAAGGAACUGCCCCGGUUAACGGGGAGGAAGGUGGGGAUGACGUCAAGUCCUCAUGGCCUUUAUGCCCAGGGCUACACACGUGCUACAAUGGCCUGUACAAAGGGUAGCGAACUCGUGAGAGUAAGCUAAUCCCAAAAAGCAGGUCUCAGUUCGGAUUGAAGUCUGCAACUCGACUUCAUGAAGUUGGAAUCGCUAGUAAUCCCAUGUCAGCAUGAUGGGGUGAAUACGUUCCCGGGCCUUGUACACACCGCCCGUCACACCACGAAAGUCGGCUGCACCAGAAGUCGUUAUACUAACCUAGCU